GAGAAGGGCUUCACGACAGACCCAGAGCAGGCUGUGAUCCAAGGUAAUAAAAAUUUGGUUUCACUCCACCUUUCUAAGCUUGGAAGCUUUUUGAGGGGCCUCGUAUCACUUAGAAAUAACCAAGGCAGCAUUUCGAGGGUCACUUCUGUUCUCUGUACUGUUUUUUUCCCUGAAUUCCCAUGGGCCUGCAUCCUACCACCCUGGCGUUCUUGGCUCUCAGUCCACAGCUUCUGCAUUUCCUUCCCUGCUUCUGACCUAGUAAAUGAGGGAACAGGCUGCAGUCUCCUUGUGGGAGCUGCUGAGACUCCCUCAUCGGGGGGAAGGGGGGUGUGUGAAGUCUGCUCCAUAGGCUGUCUGUACGGAGCUGUGGGGAGGGUGUCCUAAGCUGUAGAAACUGAAAACCCAGGAAACCAAAUGAGCUUGCUGUGGAUUGGGUUUGGGAAUGCAAACAGGAUAGAUUGGAACGCUGCAGGGUCAGCAGUAAAAUGAGAGGCACCUGUGGUUUUUCCCAGGAGAGGUGGGAGAAUGAAAGCGUUUGAUGCUUAAAGAUGAUGCUUGCAGAUGUUAGGUUUUCUCUCCAAUUUUUCCUGACUCCUUGAAUUCACCAGUAGAUUUUUGUACUCAAAUA
RNAcentral lists this long non-coding RNA (628 nucleotides) under Androctonus crassicauda. Lineage: Eukaryota; Metazoa; Arthropoda; Arachnida; Scorpiones; Buthidae. The record is from RNAcentral.